Molecule: ribosomal RNA, 253 nt
Filed under: uncultured bacterium
Lineage: Bacteria
Description: partial 16S ribosomal RNA
Rfam family: Bacterial small subunit ribosomal RNA
Source: RNAcentral
UACGUAGGGUGCGAGCGUUAAUCGGAAUUACUGGGCGUAAAGCGUGCGCAGGCGGUUUUGUAAGUCAGAUGUGAAAUCCCCGGGCUCAACCUGGGAACUGCAUUUGAGACUGCAAGGCUAGAGUGUGGCAGAGGGGGGUAGAAUUCCACGUGUAGCAGUGAAAUGCGUAGAGAUGUGGAGGAAUACCGAUGGCGAAGGCAGCCCCCUGGGCCAAUACUGACGCUCAUGCACGAAAGCGUGGGGAGCAAACAGG